CUUCUCCUGCCGGCGAGUGGCGAACGGGUGAGUAAUACAUCGGAACGUGCCCUGUAGUGGGGGCCCUCUCGAAAGAUUAGCUAAUACCGCAUACGACUGAGCGUGAAAGUGGGGGACCGCAAGGCCUCAUGCUAUAGGAGCGGCCGAUGUCUGAUUAGCUAGUUGGUGGGGUAAAGGCCCACCAAGGCGACGAUCAGUAGCUGGUCUGAGAGGACGAUCAGCCACACUGGGACUGAGACACGGCCCAGACUCCUACGGGAGGCAGCAGUGGGGAAUUUUGGACAAUGGGCGAAAGCCUGAUCCAGCAAUGCCGCGUGUGUGAAGAAGGCCUUCGGGUUGUAAAGCACUUUUGUCCGGAAAGAAAUGGCUCUGGUUAAUACCUGGGGUCGAUGACGGUACCGGAAGAAUAAGGACCGGCUAACUACGUGCCAGCAGCCGCGGUUUUUACGUAGGGUCCAAGCGUUAAUCGGAAUUACUGGGCGUAAAGCGUGCGCAGGCGGUUGUGCAAGACCGAUGUGAAAUCCCCCGAGCUUAACUUGGGAAUUGCAUUGGUGACUGCACGGCUAGAGUGUGUCAGAGGGGGGUAGAAUUCCACGUGUAGCAGUGAAAUGCGUAGAGAUGUGGAGGAAUACCGAUGGCGAAGGCAGCCCCCUGGGAUAACACUGACGCUCAUGCACGAAAGCGUGGGGAGCAAACAGGAUUAGAUACCCUGGUAGUCCACGCCCUAAACGAUGUCAACUAGUUGUUGGGGAUUCAUUUCCUUAGUAACGUAGCUAACGCGUGAGUUGACCGCCUGGGGAGUACGGUCGCAAGAUUAAAACUCAAAGGAAUUGACGGGGACCCGCACAAGCGGUGGAUGAUGUGAUUAAUUCGAUGCAACGCGAAAAACCUUACCUACCCUU
Molecule: ribosomal RNA, 902 nt
Filed under: Ralstonia sp.
Lineage: Bacteria; Pseudomonadati; Pseudomonadota; Betaproteobacteria; Burkholderiales; Burkholderiaceae
Description: bacterial SSU rRNA
Rfam family: Bacterial small subunit ribosomal RNA
Source: RNAcentral